Molecule: long non-coding RNA, 1273 nt
Organism: Pyrus x bretschneideri (Chinese white pear)
Lineage: Eukaryota; Viridiplantae; Streptophyta; Magnoliopsida; Rosales; Rosaceae
Exons: 3
Source: RefSeq, a predicted model, not a curated record
AAUCGAAUUUUUACCCCAUUACGUUUGGUUCUCUUCUUUUCCCCGUCUGCUCUCUCUUCCUCUCUUUUCUAGAUUUAGCUUUUUUCCCCUAUUAUCUGCUCUCUCUCUCUCUCUCUCUCUCUCUCUCUCUCAGAUUUAGCUUUGUUCCCUAUUUUGUAUCUUUUGGCUGAUUUUGUGGGUUAGUGCUGUGGAUCUUGAAAAAGUUAAGGAUACAAUCAAACGUUUACUGCAAAAGUUGUUGCUCGAAUUUCCAGUUUUUCUCUGCGGCUUUGCAAGCUCUUUAUCAUCAAGGUAUAUCAUUUUUUCCUUUUUCUUGAAUCUUUUGUCGGAUGGAAUCGUUUUUUGUUUUCUUUUUUCGGAGGGACCAUGUUUUGUUUGCAUAUGAGUUUUUUGUGGUUUUUGUUUGGAUAUUUCAGUUUUGGCCAUUUGCAAAUAGUUUUUCUCAAUAAAUAAUGAAAAAUGGGUCUCUGCUGUGAGUGAUUGAAUAAUAUUUACAUUGCAAUUAAUAAAGUUAGCAUUAAUUGUGGUAAAAUCAAUUGUAAAUUAUCCAAAAUGACAAUAUGAUUGGAAACGCUAUGGCGACGACAACCAGCAAUCUUUGAUAUUGUGAAGAUAACAAUUUUAGUCUUUUUGGAUUGAAAGCCUAAUUGAGAAUGCCAAACUAAUAAAUUUAUUGAAAAAUUACAAGAUCUUAAAAAUAUGCAGAUUUGAAAAUGUGUAAAAUUGUAUACAUAUUUUUUAAAAGAAAAGCAAAACAACAAUUAUAUAUUUUUUAAAAUAGUUGUCGGCAUCGAAUUUGUUUAUUUGCAGAGUAAGGAGAACGUGACCCGAUUCGCUGUAAGCUUGCAGUAAACUUUUAUAUUUGUUCAGGGUUAUGAGAAUUCUUACAAAAAGAAAACAACUCAGAUUAUAAUUUUCCGUUUAAAACUGUUUUUAAAGCAACUGAUGGUAAGACAAACAAAAUGUUAAAAAAUGUGAGGUACACCCGGCAUCACCUGCUCUGCUUUUAUGGAAGAGGAUCCUCUCCUGAGCUGAGGAGGAGGAUCCUCUUGACCACGAAAUCCAGGCUGUUCAAUUUUAGUUCAACGGUUCUAAACAGGGAGGUCUUCUAAAAGUUAUAAUAAUUGUAAUCGUUGAAUUAAGAUUGAACGGUUCGAAUUUUGUGGUCAAGAGGAUCCUCAUCUUAUGCUCAGGAGAGGAUCCUCUUCCUGCUUUUAUGAGAAUUCUUACAAAAAAAUAUUAAAAAAAUGUGAUAAAGCAACUGAUGGUAAGG